Long non-coding RNA from Sinocyclocheilus anshuiensis, 90 nucleotides. RefSeq lists it as uncharacterized. The record is from RefSeq and is a predicted model, not a curated record. NCBI's taxonomy places the organism in Eukaryota, Metazoa, Chordata, Actinopteri, Cypriniformes, Cyprinidae. The transcript has 3 exons.
UUUCUUCUACAAAAUAGUUACAAUUGUUAGUAAGCUGUUUCAAAGCUUAUUUAUACUUGUCUUGUGGCUGAAAAUGCAUUAAAUUUGUCA